RNAcentral lists this small nucleolar RNA (107 nucleotides) under Gossypium arboreum. Its description in RNAcentral is "Plant small nucleolar RNA R71". It matches the Rfam family "Plant small nucleolar RNA R71". Rfam says of the family: R71 is a member of the C/D box family of snoRNAs containing the C (UGAUGA) and D (CUGA) box motifs. Multiple nearly identical copies of this snoRNA have been identified in Arabidopsis, and it is thought to function as a 2'-O-ribose methylation guide for 18S ribosomal RNA. Lineage: Eukaryota; Viridiplantae; Streptophyta; Magnoliopsida; Malvales; Malvaceae. The record is from Rfam by way of RNAcentral.
AUUCCAUGAUGAGGGCACUUUCGUAGUAAUUCUUUGUACCCUUCCCAUGCCUCAUACAAGGAAUCAUCAUCCAUUUGUUGGAAAGUAGUGAUCUCGUUCCUCAACUU